This 875-nucleotide ribosomal RNA is filed under the name Phoma herbarum. RNAcentral's name for it is "partial large subunit ribosomal RNA". It matches the Rfam family "Eukaryotic large subunit ribosomal RNA", at positions 68 to 961 of the family's 3401-position model. Lineage: Eukaryota; Fungi; Ascomycota; Dothideomycetes; Pleosporales; Didymellaceae. The record is from RNAcentral.
ACAGGGAUUGCCCUAGUAACGGCGAGUGAAGCGGCAACAGCUCAAAUUUGAAAUCUGGCGUCUUUGGCGUCCGAGUUGUAAUUUGCAGAGGGCGCUUUGGCAUUGGCAGCGGUCCAAGUUCCUUGGAACAGGACGUCACAGAGGGUGAGAAUCCCGUACGUGGUCGCUAGCCUUUACCGUGUAAAGCCCCUUCGACGAGUCGAGUUGUUUGGGAAUGCAGCUCUAAAUGGGAGGUAAAUUUCUUCUAAAGCUAAAUACUGGCCAGAGACCGAUAGCGCACAAGUAGAGUGAUCGAAAGAUGAAAAGCACUUUGGAAAGAGAGUUAAAAAGCACGUGAAAUUGUUGAAAGGGAAGCGCUUGCAGCCAGACUUGCCUGUAGUUGCUCAUCCGGGUUUUUACCCGGUGCACUCUUCUAUAGGCAGGCCAGCAUCAGUUUGGGCGGUUGGAUAAAGGUCUCUGUCAUGUACCUCUCUUCGGGGAGAACUUAUAGGGGAGACGACAUGCAACCAGCCUGGACUGAGGUCCGCGCAUCUGCUAGGAUGCUGGCGUAAUGGCUGUAAGCGGCCCGUCUUGAAACACGGACCAAGGAGUCUAACAUCUAUGCGAGUGUUUGGGUGUCAAGCCCGAACGCGUAAUGAAAGUGAACGGAGGUGGGAACCUUUCGGGGUGCACCAUCGACCGAUCCUGAUGUCUUCGGAUGGAUUUGAGUAAGAGCAUAGCUGUUGGGACCCGAAAGAUGGUGAACUAUGCUUGAAUAGGGUGAAGCCAGAGGAAACUCUGGUGGAGGCUCGCAGCGGUUCUGACGUGCAAAUCGAUCGUCAAAUUUGGGCAUAGGGGCGAAAGACUAAUCGAACUAUCUAGUAGCUGGUUCCUGC